GAUCACUGAAACUCCACCUGAUGUGGUGGAAGUUGUCGAAGAAGAUCAGAACGCCUUCUAGGACCACCUUCAGGCAUGGGCUGAGAAGGAUGUGGAGGUUUUUGAGCAAGUGAGACUGAACAUCGACAAGGUGCAGGAGAAACAGGGGAGCUACCAGAGAAGAAUCAAGAAGAGGACCAAGUGCUUUGACAUCCGGGUGAACGACUUGGUUUGGAAGAAGGAUUAAAGGAAGGCGAGACCUGGCCCAGGGGUUUGACCAGAUAGUAAAUCUAAAGACUAACCACUGGGUCAUGUUAAGUAACCUCCGCUGACAGCUGUUCAGGGGGCUGAAUCUCAUCCUGAUCCACCUGAGGCUGGGGCAGGCAAGAGGAGGAGAUACCAAUUCUGCCCCCAAAAGAAGGACUGUAAACAAAUACUAUGUGCUGCACAUGUGAGAAAUACAUCUGCAAUGUUCAUGCACACACUUGCAUACUGUCCUACAUGUGCUUAUUAGAGUUGAUAGAUUUAUGUUCUUCACGUUGUUGUUUAGUAUCUAUUAACUUAUUUUAUUAUUUGUUAUUGCUGUUUAUACAGCUUGUGUGUGGCGGCAAUGGUUUAAAAAAAAUGGGGGAAGACUCAUAUUUUGUAGUUCAAUUCCUCAUUGUACAGUAUAUAAGAAUAUAUCACGUUGUUGCCAAAAAGACUGUUAUUGUUCCCCUUCAAUAAAAUGC
Long non-coding RNA from Oncorhynchus nerka (sockeye salmon), 710 nucleotides. RefSeq lists it as uncharacterized. NCBI's taxonomy places the organism in Eukaryota, Metazoa, Chordata, Actinopteri, Salmoniformes, Salmonidae. The record is from RefSeq and is a predicted model, not a curated record. The transcript has 3 exons.